RNAcentral lists this ribosomal RNA (914 nucleotides) under uncultured archaeon. RNAcentral's name for it is "bacterial SSU rRNA". It matches the Rfam family "Archaeal small subunit ribosomal RNA", at positions 1 to 922 of the family's 1478-position model. The record is from RNAcentral.
UUCCGGUUGACCCUGCCGGACCUGACUGCUAUCGGAUUGAUACUAAGCCAUGCGAGUCUUUGCAGUAAUGCAAGGCAUACGGCUCAGUAACACGUAGUCAACUUACCCUAUGGACGAGGAUAAUCUCGGGAAACUGAGCAUAAUACUCGAUAGAUCAUAAUGCCUGGAAUGGUUUAUGGUUGAAAUGAUUCGUCGCCAUAGGAUGGGACUGCGGCCUAUCAGCUUGUUGGUGAGGUAAUGGCCCACCAAGGCGAUUACAGGUACGGGCUCUGAGAGGAGAAGCCCGGAGAUGGGUACUGAGACAAGGACCCAGGCCCUAUGGGGCGCAGCAGGCGAGAAAACUUUGCAAUGUGCGAAAGCACGACAAGGUUAAUCCGAGUGAUUUCUGCUAAAGGAAUCUUUUGCAAGUCAUAAAACCACUAGUGAAUAAGGGGUGGGCAAGUUCUGGUGUCAGCCGCCGCGGUAAAACCAGCACCUCAAGUGGUCAGGAGGAUUAUUGGGCCUAAAGCAUCCGUAGCCGGCUCUGUAAGUUUUCGGUUAAAUCCAUGUGCUCAACGCAUGGGCUGCCGAAAAUAUUGCAUGGCUAGGGAGUGGGAGAGGUAGACGGUACUCAGUAGGAAGGGGUAAAAUCCUUUGAUCUAUUGAUGACCACCUGUGGCGAAGGCGGUCUACCAGAACACGUUCGACGGUGAGGGAUGAAAGCUGGGGGAGCAAACCGGAUUAGAUACCCGGGUAGUCCCAGCUGUAAACGAUGCAGACUCGAUGAUGCAUUGGCAUAUAGCCAGUGCAGUGUCGCAGGGAAGCCGUUAAGUCUGCCGCCUGGGAAGUACGUACGCAAGUAUGAAACUUAAAGGAAUUGGCGGGGGAGCACCACAAGGGGUGAAGCCUGCGGUUCAAUUGGAUUCAACGCCGGA